Molecule: transfer RNA, 90 nt
Filed under: Herminiimonas sp.
Lineage: Bacteria; Pseudomonadati; Pseudomonadota; Betaproteobacteria; Burkholderiales; Oxalobacteraceae
Description: tRNA-Ser
Rfam family: tRNA
About the family: Transfer RNA (tRNA) molecules are approximately 80 nucleotides in length.
Source: RNAcentral
GGAGGUUUGGGUGAGCGGUUUAAACCAGCAGUCUUGAAAACUGCCGAAGGGUGAUACCUUCCGUGAGUUCGAAUCUCACAGCCUCCGCCA